Molecule: ribosomal RNA, 480 nt
Filed under: uncultured bacterium
Lineage: Bacteria
Description: partial 16S ribosomal RNA
Rfam family: Bacterial small subunit ribosomal RNA
Source: RNAcentral
GACGAACGCUGGCGGCGUGCUUAACACAUGCCAGUUGAACGAGAAUUUUUCGAGUGAUUUCUUCGGAAUGAUCAUGAAAAAGGAAAGUAGCGAACGGGUGAGUAACACGUGAGAAACCUGCCUUUCACAAAGGGAUAGCCUCGGGAAACCGGGAUUAAUACCUUAUGAAACCAAACACUCGCAUGAGAGAUUGGUUAAAGAUUUAUCGGUGUUAGAUGGUCUCGCGUCUGAUUAGCUAGUUGGUGGGAUAAAAGCCUACCAAGGCAACGAUCAGUAGCCGGAUUGAGAGGUUGAACGGCCACACUGGAACUGAGACACGGUCCAGACUCCUACGGGAGGCAGCAGUGGGGAAUUUUGCACAAUGGAGGAAACUCUGAUGCAGCGACGCCGCGUGAGUGAUGAAGGUCUUCGGAUUGUAAAACUCUGUCCUUAGUGAAGAUAAUGACAGUAACUAAGAAGCAAGCCCUGGCUAAAUACGUG